GAGGUUGGCUUCGGCCAGCCUAGUGGCGGACGGGUGAGUAAUGCGUGGGAAUCUGCCUCGUAGUGGGGGAUAACGUAGGGAGACUUACGCUAAUACCGCAUACGCUCUACGGAGGAAAGGGGGGAUCUUCGGACCUCUCGCUAUGAGAUGAGCCCACGUCUGAUUAGCUAGUUGGUGGGAUAAAGGCCUACCAAGGCGACGAUCAGUAGCCGGCCUGAGAGGGUGGACGGCCACACUGGGACUGAGACACGGCCCAGACUCCUACGGGAGGCAGCAGUGGGGAAUAUUGGACAAUGGGCGAAAGCCUGAUCCAGCAAUGCCGCGUGUGUGAAGAAGGCCUGCGGGUUGUAAAGCACUUUAAGUGGGGAAGAACGGGAUUGCGCUAAUACCGUGAUCCUUUGACGUUACCCACAGAAUAAGCACCGGCUAACUCCGUGCCAGCAGCCGCGGUAAUACGGAGGGUGCGAGCGUUAAUCGGAAUUACUGGGCGUAAAGCGCAUGUAG
Molecule: ribosomal RNA, 504 nt
Filed under: uncultured bacterium
Lineage: Bacteria
Description: bacterial SSU rRNA
Rfam family: Bacterial small subunit ribosomal RNA
Source: RNAcentral